GACAGAGGGGGCUAGCGUUGCUCGGAAUCACUGGGCGUAAAGGGCGCGUAGGCGGGAUGGCAAGUCGGUCGUGAAAUCCUCCGGCUCAACCGGAGAACGUCGGCCGAAACUGCCAUUCUUGAGGGAUGCAGAGGAGACUGGAAUUCCCGGUGUAGCGGUGAAAUGUGUAGAGAUCGGGAGGAACACCGGUGGCGAAGGCGGGUCUCGGAGCAUCUCCUGACGUUGAGGCGCGAAAGCGUGGGGAGCAAACGGG
This 253-nucleotide ribosomal RNA is filed under the name uncultured bacterium. RNAcentral's name for it is "partial 16S ribosomal RNA". It matches the Rfam family "Bacterial small subunit ribosomal RNA", at positions 524 to 776 of the family's 1533-position model. The record is from RNAcentral.